Molecule: transfer RNA, 89 nt
Filed under: Fusarium ambrosium
Lineage: Eukaryota; Fungi; Ascomycota; Sordariomycetes; Hypocreales; Nectriaceae
Also listed under: 15 other names
Description: tRNA-Thr
Rfam family: tRNA
About the family: Transfer RNA (tRNA) molecules are approximately 80 nucleotides in length. Their secondary structure includes four short double-helical elements and three loops (D, anti-codon, and T loops).
Source: RNAcentral
GCCGCGUUGGCUCAGUGGUAGAGCGUAUCACUAGUACUCCUAGUACAAAAGACAUGAUAAGGUCCAAGGUUCGAUCCCUUGACGUGGCA